Molecule: ribosomal RNA, 481 nt
Filed under: uncultured Glomus
Lineage: Eukaryota; Fungi; Glomeromycota; Glomeromycetes; Glomerales; Glomeraceae
Description: SSU rRNA
Rfam family: Eukaryotic small subunit ribosomal RNA
Source: RNAcentral
AGCAGCCGCGGUAAUUCCAGCUCCAAUAGCGUAUAUUAAAGUUGUUGCAGUUAAAAAGCUCGUAGUUGAAUUUCGGGAUCAAUAUGUCGGUCGUGCCUUCGGUACGUACUGGUAUCAUUGGUCUCUCCUUUCUGACGAACCAUGAUGUCAUUAAUUUGGUGUUAUGGGGAGUUAGGACUGUUACUUUGAAAAAAUUAGAGUGUUUAAAGCAGGCUUUAGCUUGAAUACAUUAGCAUGGAAUAAUGAAAUAGGACGUUCGAACCUAUUUUGUUGGUUUCUAGGAUCAACGUAAUGAUUAAUAGGGAUAGUUGGGGGCAUUAGUAUUCAAUUGUCAGAGGUGAAAUUCUUGGAUUUAUUGAAGACUAACUACUGCGAAAGCAUUUGCCAAGGAUGUUUUCAUUAAUCAAGAACGAAAGUUAGGGGAUCGAAGACGAUCAGAUACCGUCGUAGCCUUAACCAUAAACUAUGCCGACUAGGGAUC